AUUGAACGCUGGCGGCAGGCUUAACACAUGCAAGUCGAGCGGGGUGAUGGUGCUUGCACUAUCACUUAGCGGCGGACGGGUGAGUAAUGCUUAGGAAUCUGCCUAUUAGUGGGGGACAACAUCUCGAAAGGGAUGCUAAUACCGCAUACGUCCUACGGGAGAAAGCAGGGGAUCACUUGUGACUUUGCGCUAAUAGAUGAGCCUAAGUCGGAUUAGCUAGUUGGUGGGGUAAAGGCCUACCAAGGCGACGAUCUGUAGCGGGUCUGAGAGGAUGAUCCGCCACACUGGGACUGAGACACGGCCCAGACUCCUACGGGAGGCAGCAGUGGGGAAUAUUGGACAAUGGGGGGAACCCUGAUCCAGCCAUGCCGCGUGUGUGAAGAAGGCCUUAUGGUUGUAAAGCACUUUAAGCGAGGAGGAGGCUCUUUUGGUUAAUACCCAAGAUGAGGGACGUUACUCGCAGAAUAAGCACCGGCUAACUCUGUGCCAGCAGCCGCCGUAA
This 502-nucleotide ribosomal RNA is filed under the name uncultured bacterium. RNAcentral's name for it is "partial 16S ribosomal RNA". It matches the Rfam family "Bacterial small subunit ribosomal RNA", at positions 30 to 523 of the family's 1533-position model. The record is from RNAcentral.